Molecule: unclassified non-coding RNA, 1456 nt
Filed under: Hevea brasiliensis (rubber tree)
Lineage: Eukaryota; Viridiplantae; Streptophyta; Magnoliopsida; Malpighiales; Euphorbiaceae
Source: RNAcentral
UAUUGAGAAAAAUCAUGGAAAGAAAUCUAAAUAUCUUGCAUGUAUAGAUCUUAAUCAUUAUCGAGCACUAAAAGAAUUUGCAAUUUGGUUGUCAAGAUAUGAAUGUAGCUUGUAAAUUGGAAAAAAAAAAUUAAAAAAAAAAAUCAUGAAAUGAUGUUACUUGGGACUGCUGAGGAAAAAUACUAUCAUGCUAAUGGACCUAGUAUAAACGCCAUUCAUUCUCUAUGCAACAUUGCAGUGUAGUUGAAGGAACCAAGGUAGCAAACACCAAUCAUAUGCACUUUAGUCACAAUGAAUUAGGGGCUCCUUUUGUGCGUUGGAAAAUUUCCACCUUACAUAUACAUUUUGUGCUAAAGAAUAUUAGACUCUUUGGAUUGCCCAUAAGACCAUAAAUUUCUGUUAAGGUGAAGUUGAUUACCCAGGAAGUUUUUUGUCUAUGCAGUAGGCUUAUUGUAUUGAAUAAUGAAUUGCCUGAAGCUGUAUAGACUGAAGUUCAUUUUGUAAAUCUAAUUCUGGUUGGAUCUGGUCAACUAAAAAUGCUAAGAUGAGAUUUGUUGUAAAAGUAAACUUGCCUCUGAAAUUCACUGCCUGUAACUCUAAUUCGUGAUGUAAAUACACUUCUUUUUUGUGCUUUCCAAUUUAUUAUUAGGUAAUGCCUUCGCUCAUAUAGUGUUGCUUUGAUAGACGAACUUAUUACUGAUAAGAGGCUAUUUUUUCAGUACCUUUGGGGCAUUGAAUCCUAUUAAGGCAUGUAGAGUUCAAUAAGAUUUACUCUUGUGAUAGAUUGUCAUAGGAUGUUGUAAGAAUUUUUGUCAAAAACCUAUGUACUUAUUGCAAUGAUGUAGCAUUAGACCAGUCCAUAUUUCUCAUAAUCAUGUGCUUGAAUGUUUUGAUAUUGAGCCUUUUGAUUUAUAUGCGAGUUGUGAAACAAUUUAUUGUGGAUAUGCAGUGGUUUUGCAUAUAAGAUGGUAGGUUUACAAAAACUUUCCAUUUUUUUUUCUUCUUAAGUGUGAUUGUCAAGUCUACAAUUGAUCAUUAUCAUCUGAUAGUGUUUAACCUUAUUGCCUUUGAGUACUCCCUCAGCUAUCCUUUUUUUCUGGAAAGGACUUUUUCAAGUAAUCAUAGGAUCCUGUAGUCGGUUUAGGCAAAAAUAUUUAUACUUUCUACUUUUAUGUUGAAAUAAUAUAGGAAAAUUGAUUGUGUUGUAGGGAUCAAACACCUUUUCCCAUGGCAAUAGCAUUGGCUUGUAGAAAUUAAAGCUUUUUAAUUGCCGAAUGCUGAGAAAAGACUAGACUAGCAUUUAUAAUAUAUGUGAUUUCUUCAUUAGCUAGAUUCCAUUAUGUUGUUUAUGCAAUAUGGUUUCUGGUGGCCAAAUUAGCAACCCAGAUGAUCUUAAAUCAGCUUUGGAUUACAACACUACUACCAUGAUAUUUAAAAACACUGGUCUUGUUCUCAA